UACGGAGGGUGCAAGCAUUAAUCGGAAUCAUUGGGCGUAAAGGGCGCGUAGGCGGAAUAACAAGUCAAGUGUGAAAUUUUGGGGCUCAACCCCAGAGCAGCACGUGAAACUGUUAAUCUAGAGGUAAGGCGGAGGGAAUGGAAUUCCACGUGUAGCGGUGAAAUGCGUAGAUAUGUGGAGGAACACCUGUGGCGAAAGCGGUUUUCUAGCUUUAACCUGACGCUGAGGCGCGAGAGCAAGGGGAUCAAACAGG
Molecule: ribosomal RNA, 253 nt
Filed under: uncultured bacterium
Lineage: Bacteria
Description: partial 16S ribosomal RNA
Rfam family: Bacterial small subunit ribosomal RNA
Source: RNAcentral